UACGGAGGGAGCUAGCGUUGUUCGGAAUUAUUGGGCGUAAAGAGCUCGUAGGCGGUGUGUCGCGUCGGCCGUGAAAACCUGCAGCUUAACUGUGGGCUUGCGGUCGAUACGGGCAUCACUGGAGUUCGGCAGGGGAGACUGGAAUUCCUGGUGUAGCGGUGAAAUGCGCAGAUAUCAGGAGGAACACCGAUGGCGAAGGCAGGUCUCUGGGCAUUAACUGACGCUGAGGAGCGAAAGCAUGGGGAGCGAACAGG
Molecule: ribosomal RNA, 254 nt
Filed under: uncultured bacterium
Lineage: Bacteria
Description: partial 16S ribosomal RNA
Rfam family: Bacterial small subunit ribosomal RNA
Source: RNAcentral